AUUGAACGCUGGCGGCAUGCCUUACACAUGCAAGUCGAACGGCAGCACGGAGCUUGCUCUGGUGGCGAGUGGCGAACGGGUGAGUAAUAUAUCGGAACGUACCCUAGAGUGGGGGAUAACGUAGCGAAAGUUACGCUAAUACCGCAUACGAUCUAAGGAUGAAAGUGGGGGAUCGCAAGACCUCAUGCUCGUGGAGCGGCCGAUAUCUGAUUAGCUAGUUGGUAGGGUAAAAGCCUACCAAGGCAUCGAUCAGUAGCUGGUCUGAGAGGACGACCAGCCACACUGGAACUGAGACACGGUCCAGACUCCUACGGGAGGCAGCAGUGGGGAAUUUUGGACAAUGGGCGAAAGCCUGAUCCAGCAAUGCCGCGUGAGUGAAGAAGGCCUUCGGGUUGUAAAGCUCUUUUGUCAGGGAAGAAACGGUGAGAGCUAAUAUCUCUUGCUAAUGACGGUACCUGAAGAAUAAGCACCGGCUAACUACGUGCCAGCAGCCGCGGUAAUACGUAGGGUGCAAGCGUUAAUCGGAAUUACUGGGCGUAAAGCGUGCGCAGGCGGUUUUGUAAGUCUGAUGUGAAAUCCCCGGGCUCAACCUGGGAAUUGCAUUGGAGACUGCAAGGCUAGAAUCUGGCAGAGGGGGGUAGAAUUCCACGUGUAGCAGUGAAAUGCGUAGAUAUGUGGAGGAACACCGAUGGCGAAGGCAGCCCCCUGGGUCAAGAUUGACGCUCAUGCACGAAAGCGUGGGGGAGCAAACAGGAUUAGAUACCCUGGUAGUCCACGCCCUAAACGAUGUCUACUAGUUGUCGGGUCUUAAUUGACUUGGUAACGCAGCUAACGCGUGAAGUAGACCGCCUGGGGAGUACGGUCGCAAGAUUAAAACUCAAAGGAAUUGGCGGGGACCCGCACAAGCGGUGGAUGAUGUGGAUUAAUUCGAUGCAACGCGAAAAACCUUACCUACCCUUGACGUGGCUGGAAUCCUUGAGAGAUCAGGGAGUGCUCGAAAGAGAACCAGUACACAGGUGCUGCAUGGCUGUCGUCAGCUCGUGUCGUGAGAUGUUGGGUUAAGUCCCGCAACGAGCGCAACCCUUGUCAUUAGUUGCUACGAAAGGGCACUCUAAUGAGACUGCCGGUGACAAACCGGAGGAAGGUGGGGAUGACGUCAAGUCCUCAUGGCCCUUAUGGGUAGGGCUUCACACGUCAUACAAUGGUACAUACAGAGCGCCGCCAACCCGCGAGGGGGAGCUAAUCGCAGAAAGUGUAUCGUAGUCCGGAUUGUAGUCUGCAACUCGACUGCAUGAAGUUGGAAUCGCUAGUAAUCGCGGAUCAGCAUGUCGCGGUGAAUACGUUCCCGGGUCU
Molecule: ribosomal RNA, 1353 nt
Filed under: uncultured bacterium
Lineage: Bacteria
Description: bacterial SSU rRNA
Rfam family: Bacterial small subunit ribosomal RNA
Source: RNAcentral